Molecule: long non-coding RNA, 213 nt
Filed under: Olea europaea (common olive)
Lineage: Eukaryota; Viridiplantae; Streptophyta; Magnoliopsida; Lamiales; Oleaceae
Description: long non-coding RNA (OEUR_LNC012043)
Source: RNAcentral
CUUUUUCUGCGUUAUCCUCCCUCUCUUAUUUUUCUUUCUACUUAUCCUUGAACUCAUUGGCUAGUAAAUAGUUAUUAGCCACGACAGGAGGUAAUGUAUCGAACUGAAUAGUAAGGGGCUGAUCUGGAUCUUCUCCAUCUUUUCUGUCUCGCUCAAACUUCGAUCUCUCAGAAGAAGUCUCUGGCAAUUCUUUCAUCGAUUCACCUGUGCCAG